AUCGCGAUGCGAUCGGCGCCGGUUUUGCUCCCGACGCAACAUAUGUCAAUGGCACGCAGGGAGCGAAUCCGGGGAACGUGACUGUGUCGCCGCACCCGGAAUCAUUCGGCGGACAUCCGAACGGCUCUCCAGGCCCGAUGUGGAUGUCCGUCGAUUUCUUU
This 161-nucleotide non-coding RNA is filed under the name Burkholderia gladioli. RNAcentral describes it as "ncS035". It matches the Rfam family "Burkholderia sRNA 35". From Rfam's summary of the family: Identified by RNA-seq, RACE and Northern blot. The record is from RNAcentral. Lineage: Bacteria; Pseudomonadati; Pseudomonadota; Betaproteobacteria; Burkholderiales; Burkholderiaceae.